Molecule: non-coding RNA, 23 nt
Filed under: Arabidopsis thaliana (thale cress)
Lineage: Eukaryota; Viridiplantae; Streptophyta; Magnoliopsida; Brassicales; Brassicaceae
Source: RNAcentral
CACGACUUCAAUCCUUGAAUGCC